UAGCCGUAAACGAUACUCGCUAGGUGUCGGCCACGGUGCGACCGUUGUCGGUGCCGUAGGGAAGCCGUGAAGCGAGCCACCUGGGAAGUACGGCCGCAAGGCUGAAACUUAAAGGAAUUGGCGGGGGAGCACCACAACGGGUGGAGCUUGCGGUUUAAUUGGAUUCAACGCCGGAAAUCUUACCGGGACCGACAGCAACAUGAAGGCCAGGCUGAAGAUUUUGCCGGAUUAGCUGAGAGGUGGUGCAUGGCGUAGACGUCU
This 261-nucleotide ribosomal RNA is filed under the name uncultured archaeon. Its description in RNAcentral is "partial 16S ribosomal RNA". It matches the Rfam family "Archaeal small subunit ribosomal RNA", at positions 748 to 1009 of the family's 1478-position model. The record is from RNAcentral.